AGCGAACGCUGGCGGCAGGCCUAACACAUGCAAGUCGAACGAACCUUUCGGGGUUAGUGGCGGACGGGUGAGUAACACGUGGGAACGUGCCUUUAGGUUCGGAAUAACUCAGGGAAACUUGUGCUAAUACCGAAUGUGCCCUUCGGGGGAAAGAUUUAUCGCCUUUAGAGCGGCCCGCGUCUGAUUAGCUAGUUGGUUGAGGUAAUGGCUCACCAAGGCGACGAUCAGUAGCUGGUCUGAGAGGAUGAUCAGCCACAUUGGGGCUGAGACACGGCCCAAACUCCUACGGGAGGCAGCAGUGGGGAAUCUUGCGCAAUGGGCGAAAGCCUGACGCAGCCAUGCCGCGUGAAUGAUGAAGGUCUUAGGAUUGUAAAAUUCUUUCACCUGGGACGAUAAUGACGGUACCCGGAGAAGAAGCCCCGGCUAACUUCGUG
Molecule: ribosomal RNA, 434 nt
Filed under: uncultured bacterium
Lineage: Bacteria
Description: partial 16S ribosomal RNA
Rfam family: Bacterial small subunit ribosomal RNA
Source: RNAcentral